Long non-coding RNA from Perognathus longimembris pacificus (Pacific pocket mouse), 1505 nucleotides. RefSeq lists it as uncharacterized. The record is from RefSeq and is a predicted model, not a curated record. NCBI's taxonomy places the organism in Eukaryota, Metazoa, Chordata, Mammalia, Rodentia, Heteromyidae. The transcript is spliced from 2 exons.
UAAAGAGUUACUUAUCCAUUACUUAAAUCUUUUGAUCACUUGGAUUAGGACUGAUAACUCCCUCCAAUGUAGAACUGUUAUUCUGGAGAAAAAAAAAUCUCUACUUUAAAGCUUUCUGGAAUGUCUUGUUAUUCCUUCCCCAUGUAAAGCAGGAACUGAAAACUGACAUUAUAGCACAUCCUAUCUUCUUCUUAAGAGUGGAAAUCUAACCCACCACUUCAGGAAGAAGAAUGGGAGAUGGUUGUCUUUAAAGGUUCAAAAAAAAAAAAUCAACCUUCCUCCCCUGUACUCUAUCCUCGCUUCUGUCACAGACCUUAGGGGUCACCUUUCAGUAUCAGCUAAGAUUUGUACAGCUAUAAACACUUGAAGAGAAGGACACAUCUGACAUGUUUUGUGCUGUUCUAGAUGUUCAUCAUUUUAGAGCCCAGUUUACUGGAAAGACAGGACCACGGAGUCAACUCCUUGGAGGUCUUAAACCUUCUACAGCCAUAUAAUGUCCUGAAAAAUCCCCUAGGUCCUGACAGCCCCGAACUGGGCAGCCAUAAUGUGGUGUGUUCUCCCUGGCUUCAUUUGGGUCUGAGUCUUGUCCUGCAGUCCAUGUCUUGACAUGUCAAAGAGAUGAGUGCAAAGUGACCUCAGGGGCUCAGGGCAUGAGCUCUAGGAAGAAGCUUGAUUAAGAAUUAUUUCCCAGAAAUAUUUUCUUGAGAUUAAGGAAAUAGCUCCAUUCUAAAACAUAAAAUUCAUUUUAAAAAGACAAAAACAAAAUUCAGUUUCAGCUCUUUGUAAUCUUUCUUCACACACACACACACACAUACACACACACACACUCACACACAGAGAGACAGAGGAAGCAAACAUAUGCGGGUGAGACAAAGAACUCAAAUAAUAACCCAGCUUUGAUCAAAAACUCUUUCUACAGUGUUCCCUGUGAAAAUGAUUUGUAAUCAAUGAGCCCUACCACAGUGCACUGAGGAGUAAUUACCGUACACGUGUUUUACUCAAAGCUGUGAUUAGAACAAGAUGUAAGAUCAGAGGGGCAUAAAAUGAAUAUAAGAGGGGAAAAUCUCAAAAGGAGCUAGAAUGUACAAGCUAUGGGGUAUUUAAUAAGCAUAAGGCUUAUUCCACAUAGCUAUGUUGGUACUUAUUCGUUUAUUUGGUAAUCAUUUCCUGGCUAUUUGGGGCAUGAUUGACAGGGUUAGCAGGGAUGCUAAGUUAACUUACCACAUGCUGCCCUUAUAUUUAAAAAUGGGGCAUGAACUGGCAUUUAGAGAUGUUCUGGUACCAAGUGGACUGGGUCCACCAGAAUUUCCUGCCACUGGUCACCAAAACUUUCUUAGGAACUUAGGAACCAGUGUUCAAGCAUGGACUGCCUGGCUCAGCCUACAAGCCCAAGCAGUACCUGAAUUUGCUUUUUAUUCAUCCAAGAUAGAACACCAACAUCCUCUUAAAGGUUAUAGAAAAUUUGGAAUAAUUCUGCCAGAGCCAGAAAAAAAAAAGAAACACUU